This 274-nucleotide ribosomal RNA is filed under the name uncultured bacterium. RNAcentral's name for it is "partial 16S ribosomal RNA". It matches the Rfam family "Bacterial small subunit ribosomal RNA", at positions 523 to 796 of the family's 1533-position model. The record is from RNAcentral.
AUACGGAGGGUGCGAGCGUUAAUCGGAAUUACUGGGCGUAAAGCGCGCGUAGGCGGCUUAUCAAGUUAGGCGUGAAAGGCCUGGGCUCAACCCGGGAACUGCGCUUAAUACUGGCGGACUAGAGUCCGGGAGAGGGUGGCGGAAUUCCCAGUGUAGAGGUGAAAUUCGUAGAUAUUGGGAAGAACACCAGUGGCGAAGGCGGCCACCUGGCCCGGUACUGACGCUGAGGUGCGAAAGCGUGGGGAGCAAACAGGAUUAGAUACCCCAGUAGUCC